AGUGAACGCUGGCGGCGUGCUUAACACAUGCAAGUCGAACGAGAACGGAUUAUAGCUUGCUAUAAUUGUCAGCUAAGUGGCGCACGGGUGAGUAAUGUAUAGGUAAUAUGCCUCUUACUAAGGGAUAACAAAUGGAAACGUUUGCUAAUACCUUAUACUCCUUAUUAACAGAAGUUAAUAAGGGAAAGAUUUAUUGGUAAGAGAUUGGCCUGUAUUGUAUCAGUUAGUUGGUGGGGUAAUGGCUUACCAAGACUAUGACACAUAACUGGUUUGAGAGGAUGAUCAGUCACACUGGAACUGAGACACGGUCCAGACUCCUACGGGAGGCAGCAGUGGGGAAUAUUGCACAAUGGACGAAAGUCUGAUGCAGCAACGCCGCGUGGAGGAUGACACAUUUCGAUGCGUAAACUCCUUUUAUAUGAGAAGAUAAUGACGGUAUUAUAUGAAUAAGCACCGGCUAACUCCGUCCCAGCCGCCGCAGUAA
Molecule: ribosomal RNA, 484 nt
Filed under: uncultured bacterium
Lineage: Bacteria
Description: partial 16S ribosomal RNA
Rfam family: Bacterial small subunit ribosomal RNA
Source: RNAcentral